This 65-nucleotide transfer RNA is filed under the name marine eukaryotic metagenome. It matches the Rfam family "tRNA", at positions 5 to 66 of the family's 71-position model. From Rfam's summary of the family: Transfer RNA (tRNA) molecules are approximately 80 nucleotides in length. Their secondary structure includes four short double-helical elements and three loops (D, anti-codon, and T loops). The record is from RNAcentral.
CCGUAGCUCAAUUGGCAGAGCACCUGAUUUGUAAUCUGGAGGUUACCGGUUCGAUUCCGGUCGGU